AACGAACGCUGGCGGCAUGCCUAACACAUGCAAGUCGAACGAGACCUUCGUGUCUAUUGGCGCACGUGUGCGUAACGCGUGGGAACCUGCCCUUAGGUUCGGAAUAACUCCCCUAAAGGGGUGCUAAUACCGGAUAAUGUCUUCGGACCAAAGAUUUCUCGCCUUUGGAUGGGCCCGCGUUGGAUUAGCUAGUUGGUAGGGUAAAAGCCUACCAAGGCGACGAUCCAUAGCUGGUCUGAGAGGAUGAUCAGCCACACUGGGACUGCGACACGGCCCAGACUCCUACGGGAGGCAGCAGUGGGGAAUAUUGGACAAUGGGCGAAAGCCUGAUCCAGCAAUGCCGCGUGAGUGAUGAAGGCCUUAGGGUUGUAAAGCUCUUUUACCCGGGAUGAUAAUGACAGUACCGGGAGAAUAAGCUCCGGCUAACUCCGUG
Molecule: ribosomal RNA, 433 nt
Filed under: uncultured bacterium
Lineage: Bacteria
Description: partial 16S ribosomal RNA
Rfam family: Bacterial small subunit ribosomal RNA
Source: RNAcentral